AGCCCCGUAGUGUAGCGGCCAAUCAUCUAGCCCUCUGGAGGCUGGGACCUCGGUUCAAAUCCGAGCGGGGCUA
Molecule: transfer RNA, 73 nt
Filed under: Candidatus Woesearchaeota archaeon CG10_big_fil_rev_8_21_14_0_10_32_9
Lineage: Archaea; Nanobdellati; Candidatus Woesearchaeota
Description: tRNA-Gln
Rfam family: tRNA
About the family: Transfer RNA (tRNA) molecules are approximately 80 nucleotides in length. Their secondary structure includes four short double-helical elements and three loops (D, anti-codon, and T loops).
Source: RNAcentral